RNAcentral lists this non-coding RNA (27 nucleotides) under Rattus norvegicus (Norway rat). Lineage: Eukaryota; Metazoa; Chordata; Mammalia; Rodentia; Muridae. The record is from RNAcentral.
UUACAAAUCUGCUACCCUACUGUGAAU